Molecule: ribosomal RNA, 435 nt
Filed under: uncultured bacterium
Lineage: Bacteria
Description: partial 16S ribosomal RNA
Rfam family: Bacterial small subunit ribosomal RNA
Source: RNAcentral
AGCGAACGCUGGCGGCAGGCUUAACACAUGCAAGUCGAGCGGGCGCAGCAAUACGUCUGCGGCAGACGGGUGAGUAACGCGUGGGAACGUACCUUUUGGUUCGGAACAACACAGGGAAACUUGUGCUAAUACCGGAUAAGCCCUUACGGGGAAAGAUUUAUCGCCGAAAGAUCGGCCCGCGUCUGAUUAGCUAGUUGGUGAGGUAACGGCUCACCAAGGCGACGAUCAGUAGCUGGUCUGAGAGGAUGAUCAGCCACAUUGGGACUGAGACACGGCCCAAACUCCUACGGGAGGCAGCAGUGGGGAAUAUUGGACAAUGGGGGCAACCCUGAUCCAGCCAUGCCGCGUGAGUGAUGAAGGCCCUAGGGUUGUAAAGCUCUUUUGUGCGGGAAGAUAAUGACGGUACCGGAAGAAUAAGCCCCGGCUAACUUCGUG